This 360-nucleotide long non-coding RNA is filed under the name Elaeis guineensis (African oil palm). Its description in RNAcentral is "long non-coding RNA (EGUI_LNC029772)". Lineage: Eukaryota; Viridiplantae; Streptophyta; Magnoliopsida; Arecales; Arecaceae. The record is from RNAcentral.
GGGUGCGGUACCAUGGAUUAUGGCGUCGGUGGCCGAAAAUAAAGGAAAAAAUGCUCGGCCAAAUAGAAAAAAAUAGGAUCUUUUGUUUUGAUAGCUUUUUUGGCAAGUCCAAUGGCCAGUGGCCAUGCAUAAUAGCGUGAGAAGAAGGGAAAGAAAAAGAGAAAGAGAGGCCGGGCUUAUCUCAGGCUCUAGUGAGGUCUCUGGCGAGGACUUUAGGCAGACAUGGUGAGGGUAUCUGUGGAUUCAAUGGGAGAACCUAAAAGGAAAAAAGAGAGAGGCGUCGAUGCUCAUUAUAGAUGGUGUUGGAGGAGAGAGGAGAGGAUUUUAUAGAGGACUUCCUAGGAUUUUCAUUGGGCCUAG